RNAcentral lists this transfer RNA (78 nucleotides) under Bacteroides sp. RNAcentral's name for it is "tRNA-Pro". It matches the Rfam family "tRNA". Rfam says of the family: Transfer RNA (tRNA) molecules are approximately 80 nucleotides in length. Their secondary structure includes four short double-helical elements and three loops (D, anti-codon, and T loops). RNAcentral also lists the same sequence under 9 other names. Lineage: Bacteria; Pseudomonadati; Bacteroidota; Bacteroidia; Bacteroidales; Bacteroidaceae. The record is from RNAcentral.
CGAGGUGUAACUCAGUUUGGCUAGAGUGCCUGCUUUGGGAGCAGGAUGCCGCAGGUUCAAGUCCUGUCACCUCGACCA